RNAcentral lists this ribosomal RNA (515 nucleotides) under uncultured bacterium. Its description in RNAcentral is "bacterial SSU rRNA". It matches the Rfam family "Bacterial small subunit ribosomal RNA", at positions 798 to 1317 of the family's 1533-position model. The record is from RNAcentral.
CACGGUAAACGAUGGAUGCCCGCUGUUCGCGAUAGACUGUGAGCGGCCAAGAGAAAUCGUUAAGCAUCCCACCUGGGGAGUACGCCGGCAACGGUGAAACUCAAAGGAAUUGACGGGGGCCCGCACAAGCGGAGGAACAUGUGGUUUAAUUCGAUGAUACGCGAGGAACCUUACCCGGGCUUGAACUGCCAGCGAACGAUACAGAGAUGUUGAGGCCCUUCGGGGCGCUGGUGGAGGUGCUGCAUGGUUGUCGUCAGCUCGUGCCGUGAGGUGUCGGCUUAAGUGCCAUAACGAGCGCAACCCUUUUCAUUAGUUGCCAUCAGGUGAUGCUGGGCACUCUGGUGAUACUGCCACCGUAAGGUGUGAGGAAGGUGGGGAUGACGUCAAAUCAGCACGGCCCUUACGUCCGGGGCUACACACGUGUUACAAUGGGUGGUACAGAGGGCAGGAUGCACGCAAGUGCGUUCAAAUCUUAAAAGCCAUCCUCAGUUCGGAUUGGGGUCUGCAACCCGACC